AGUUGGCGAACGGGUGAGUAACACGUAUCUAACCUACCAUUUAUGGGGAAUAACUGUUGGAAACGACAGCUAAUACCGCAUAUGUUAUUUAUUUGCAAUGAGUAAAUAAUGAAAGGAGCAUUUGCUUCGCUAAUUGAUGGGGAUGCGGCGCAUUAACCAGUUGGUAAGGUAAUGGCUUACCAAGGUAACGAUGCGUAGCCGAUCUGAGAGGAUGAACGGCCACAUUGGGACUGAGACACGGCCCCAA
Molecule: ribosomal RNA, 247 nt
Filed under: uncultured bacterium
Lineage: Bacteria
Description: partial 16S ribosomal RNA
Rfam family: Bacterial small subunit ribosomal RNA
Source: RNAcentral